This 264-nucleotide small RNA is filed under the name Arabidopsis thaliana (thale cress). RNAcentral describes it as "ATSL209830". The record is from RNAcentral. Lineage: Eukaryota; Viridiplantae; Streptophyta; Magnoliopsida; Brassicales; Brassicaceae.
UUUCUUAUUAAUUAUUAUAUUUCACCUCUCAUCUUUAUAUGAGUAACCCAUUCGAGUUCGGGUAGAACCCGUUCGGGUUUGGGAUUAAUGGGUAUAUGAUUUACUACCCAAUAGAAUAAUCCUACUAUAUUAUUUAGGAAGUACAUUUUAAAUGUAACUUUAUCUUUUAUAAGUAAUUACAUAGGUAUGCCAUUAGAAAUAAAAUUUUAAAUAGUAAAUUAAUUCAUCUCUUUAAGAAUUAAAAAGUCAAAUDACUAAUUAAAU